This 7893-nucleotide long non-coding RNA is filed under the name Zostera marina. RNAcentral describes it as "long non-coding RNA (ZMAR_LNC001425)". The record is from RNAcentral. Lineage: Eukaryota; Viridiplantae; Streptophyta; Magnoliopsida; Alismatales; Zosteraceae.
UUUCCACUCUUAAACCAUGAGAGUAUAAAUAUGAGUGGACCCCAAAGGAGGAGUUAGUUGAGUUCUAUUUUUAACCAAGGUAUUUCUCAACGUCUUUCUUUCUUUUAUUUCUUUCUUUCUUUUAUUUCUUUUAUUUCUUUUUAUUUUCUACCGAUUCCUAUUAUUCUUGCCAUUUUCCACACCACGAUUAUCCUUGGAUUGGGAUAAUCUCACCUACCUCUAUCGAUCUUCAAGGGAGAACAUAAACCCUAGUUCUAUAAUUUACUGUUCCAUUGGUUUGGAACGCAAGUCUGGACAGAUUUCUCUCAUCCAUUGAAUCUGUCUCCUUCAACUGUUCAAGGCCUACAUCAUCUUGGUAAGGAAUAUUUUGAAAGUCUUCUUCCUGAAAUCAUUCGAAAUUGUUCUCAUCAAAAGGCUCCAGUACUAGAUGGUAAUCUAUCAUUGUUUAAGUACCUACCAAGAUCUUUGGGAGUAAUGUUCUUCCAGAACUAUUUGCAAAUUGCAACUGGUUUUACUUUUUUUUUAAAGCAAUUAAAUUUCAUUAAUAAUAAGGGCAAUGCCCACAUUACAUAGAGUCUAGAAAUAAAAAACAGAAAAAAAUGAGUAAAAAGUCCAUCGACUCUCUCCCAUUAGCUAUGUAGUCUAGUUUGUAGUAAUUAGAUACGCUGCCUCAGGAGGUUGGUUUCAAUCAUAUAUGUCUUCAAAGGGUGACAAUAGUUUUUCUUGUAACACUCCAGAUCAAAGGAGAGACUGAUGUCUUUAAUAACCUCCUUAAGGACUACCUCAGGAGGCCUACUAACGUGUUGUCUGUAUCUUUUAUUUCUUUCUGUCUAUAUAUGCUACGACAAAACCCAAUAGCAUUUCAUAGUAGCCUCCAAGAGUAUUCCAUAUAUUAACUGGUUUUACCUUCUUUUUUGAAAAAUUAAAAUUUUCAUUACUGAAAAAGAGGUCUGACAUAGCCCAAGAUUACAGAUUAUCUUCUUUAUUGGCUAAAAUGUGUUUUCAUACGGUUGAGUCCAUUGUGGGCAUAAUAAGAAUUAGGUCAAGAGACUGGUUCCUAAUAUAUAUAUCUUUCAUCCAUUUUGUUGGGAUGAAUGUCUCCAGACUCCAGAAUAAGGUAGUCCAUUUUAAUGAUGGGGAUUUUCUUAACCCCAAGACCACCCUCACUGCUAGGUAGUACCAUUUCGGGCCAUGGAUUACAUUGAAUGCCUUUAUCACUAUCCCAAAUGAAUUGGUAGGAUAAAUUCUUGACUUUUUACACUAUGGACAUAAGGGGUUCAUUGGACCCAAUUGUAUAUUUGCCUUCAACUAUUAAAUUUACAAAUUAGAUCCUCCACCCAUAUAAUAAGUAUUUCACACUCCAUUUUGCUAGAAGCUUUUCAGACUGAAUGAGUUUCUAGCAUUGGUCGUGAGAUUUCUUUUUGCCAGAUAUGAGGAGACCUAGGUAGAUUUGUUUUACUUGGAAGCCUAGAAUAUUUUGUAACUCUAAGUCGACCUCACACACCUUAGAAAAAGGUGUAGAGCUCUUAGUUUUAUUAAUCUAUAUUCUCUAGACCUGUGAUUCUGUGAAAGUAGAGAAUUCCUCAAGUAUGUUCAGAAUGCACCUAAGUGAUUUUGGGUUUGUUCUGGUGAACAUCAUCAGCAUGCAUAAACUUUGGGUUUGGCAAGUUUUGAGUAAGAAGAAUACAGAGUUGUCUUCUAUCCUAUCUUGUGCUUUUCCUAUAUGCAGAAAUAUAAAAUAACUCCAAUCUUUUUUUUUUUUUUUUGAAGCAAUUAAAUUUCAUUAGAAUAAGGUUAAUGCCAAGUUUACAAAAAUAGAGAAUAGAAAUAAAAAUAGAAGUAAAAAGAAAUGAGCAAAAAGCUCAUUGACUCUCUCCCAUUAGCAAUGUAGUCUAGUUAUACAGUAACUAGAUACGCUGCCUCAGGAGGUUGGUCUCCCAUACUUCCAUCAUAGAUGUCUCCAAAGGGUGACAACAGCUCUUCUUGUAAUACACUGAAUCAAAGGAGAAACUGAUGUCUUUAAUGACCUCCUUAAGGACUACCUCAGGAGGCCUGCUAAUAUGUUGUCUAUAUCUCUUAUUUCUCUCCGUCCAUAUAUGCCACGACAAGCAUCCAAUAGCAUUCCAUAUUAACCCCCAAGGGGAACUCCAAUCUUUACUUGUUCUUGAGAUCCAUGUAUAUAAAGUAUAAAUUAUGGAUGUGUUAUUACCACUGUAGCUUGCCACAAAGGCUUCUUCCAUAAUACUCAAAUUUGGCUUCCCUAAUGCCUUAUUAUUUUGAAAACAAGAUUGUAAAGUAAGAAUAUUCAAAUUAUGUUUCCCUACAUGCUUUCUACUUAACAAAAUGCUUACUCACUCCAAUCUUAUAAUAAAAUUCUAGCAAGAUAUAAAGCUAUGAAAUUUUUUUGGCUAAAGUCUGACAAGAUGGAAUUCUAUACACAAUCAUCCCAGUACAGUACAAGCAAGGUUUAAAAACCGGUUAACCGGUAACCGGUUCUGGCUUACCGGUUUUCCGGUUAGACCGGUUAACCAGUGGUUAACCGGUAGGGGUAUUUUCGUAAUUUUUUUUAAAAAACAGAAAUUAUGUUAUAUACUUAUAUAUCUAUUCCAUGUUUAUAUCCAUGUUUAUAUCCCUGUUUAUAUAAAUAAAAAUAUCAUAAACAAUAUAGUAAUUCAAAAUAGUCAUUCAAAAUAGUAAUGCAAAUAAGUAAUUAAUUCCAUAAUGUAAUUCAAAAUAUCCUAAGCCUAAGAUAUCUAUAAGGAGUAAGAUUUAAACUUAUUAAAAUAAAGCCUNNNNNNNNNNNNNNNNNNNNNNNNNNNNNNNNNNNNNNNNNNNNNNNNNNNNNNNNNNNNNNNNNNNNNNNNNNNNNNNNNNNNNNNNNNNNNNNNNNNNNNNNNNNNNNNNNNNNNNNNNNNNNNNNNNNGACGGGUAACUGGGUCGGGUACGGGUCAGACCCGACCCAUCGACCCAUUUACCCGUCCCAACUAACCGGUCACCGGUUAGCCAUAUUUUACCGGUCAGCCGGUUAACCGCCAGUUUUUAAACCUUGAGUAUAAGUGCAAUGGAAUUGCCCAUCAUUUUCCCCUCCUUUGCCAAAUCCCAAACUCCCAAUAGACCCAACACACACUUACCUUUGCACAUAUCUUUGUCUUCGCAUUCUUCACCCGAAUUUAAAACAAAAUGUUGACGAAUGCUUCCACGAAGUCUACUUCUGAUGUAGGAGAAGAUUUGGAUUAAGGGGAAGAACGAUUGAAGGAGGCAGCAAGAACUUCUUCAAUCGGGGGAUGGGUAGAACUUGGAAUCCACCAAGAAUUCUAAGUUGAGAUCUAGAAUUUAGAAAAGGAAAUAACAAAGCAAAGAAGGAGGGAAAUAACGGUAAUACCUCGAUUUGAUAAUAAUUCAAUAGUUGCCGCCUCCCAUCCUUGGCCUAUUAUAAUUAUACUCACAUCAAUGGAAAUAGGCAACCCAUUUGAUGUGAGUGUAGGGUUGUUUAGGAGGAACGUGGGUUGGCUUGACCAAGGUCAAGCCAACUAGGGCCCACUUGAUUAUUCUCAAUAUCUUCUACUGCAUCAUGCACCCCUUCUACAGGUGCAAUUGUCCUCAAUUGCUCUUUAGAUUCUGCUUCAGGGAAAUAUUUCCUUAUGUCACAGACAUUGCAAGAAUUUUCUGAUUCAGCCGGGCUCAUUUCUGAUUCAACACUUAAUAGUUUUUUAAAUUCUUUUUGGGCAGAAAACAGCAAAUUAGACUUUUCAGAUGUGUUUCCUUCAGGUGGAAGUGGAAGCAAUGCUACUUUCAGAUCAUCUACUUUAACUACAUACUAAAUGGUUCUGCCAUUGUAGUGUGCACUCACAUCAUACUGCCAUGGUCUUCAUAAUAGUACAUGGGCUACAUCCAUGUUAACCACAUCACAUACAAUUUCAUCAUUGUACCUUCUACCGAUGGACAAAGGUACUUUGCAACUUUUAUCCACAGCUACUGAAUUCCCACUGAGAAUCCACCAUACACUGUAAGGGUUUUUGUGUUCCUCCACCUCUAAACCUAAUUUCUUCACUGCUUUCCACGAAAUCAGAUUAUCAGUUGAUCCGUUAUCUAUUAUAAUAUCACAGACCCUUCCUUUAAUUGUGCCUCUAGUCCUGAAUAAAUUAUUCCUCUGACUUUGCAGCUCUUGUUGAGGUGUGUGCAUAGUUCAAAAAGCGGAAAAGCGGUCAGCUUUUCCAUUGACCGCUUUUUCAGCUUUGAGCGCUUUAGCGCGCUUAAAGCUGAAAAAGCGGUAGUGGCAUUAUUGUAAAUAAUUGUAAUUUUUUUAAAAAUAUAUAUAAACCUGUAAUUAUUCAAGACAUCAUCCAAAUUAUUUGAAAAACAUUUACAAGUCAUAUAACCUAAUCAUCUAGACGUGCACCAAUAUCUAUAUUAUCUCUUAAAAUUUCUUCCAUUUCAUUCAUGCAAUGAUGAAAUUGGGAUUCAAUUCCCAUAUCUCUAGGGUUUUGGAAAAAAUAAAAGUGAGAGUGAUAAAGGAAAUUAGGGUUUUAUUAGAAGGGUAUUGGGUUUAUAUAGUUAGAUAGAAAUUGGAGGGGUAGGAAGGGAAAUUAAAAUAGUUUAAGUUAUUUCACAUGGGUAAUGGGUUGUCCCAACCCAAUAACCCAACCCGACCAGAAAAAGCGUUUUAGAAAGCGGUCCUGGAGGACCGCUUUUCCGCUUUUUGAACUAUGGGUGUGUGGCAUAUUCUGUGGAUGAUACAUGACAAUCUCUGUCCUUCAUUUAGAGGUGCUUCAUCAUCAUACUCAUCAACUGAACUAUCUUCCUCCAUGGGUGCUUUUCUUGUCAUCGACUACAUGUACACUUCUUCUCUUUGGACAAGUGUUAGAUUUAUGACCCCAUUCACCACAUCUGUAACACUUAAUAUUAGUGUUUCUUUGAUCAUAGCCUCUAUUAAUUCUAACAUCUUGUUGACUUUCAGGAUUAAUUUUUCUCUCUUCAGGUGUUGGCAGUAUACCCUUCUCAUUGGGUGGGUUGAAUCUAAUGUUGGAUAGGUCUCCAACAUUUUUUAUAAAUUUUUCAGCCCUUCUGUCCAACUGAUCAGCCACUCUUAUUGUAUCCAUUAACGAGUAUUGUGGUUGCAUGAUUAAUUUUUCUUGAUGUUUGCUCUUGAGCCCUUGGACAAACCUUGCUAUUAACUGCUCCUCUGUUUCAUUCAGAUUAUUUCUCGAAGACAACCUAUGGAAUUCUUUAGAAUAUUCAGCCACACUUCUAUUCCCUUGACAGCAUUGAUGAUAUUGAGUGAAUAGAACGCCCUCGUAAUCACUAGGCAAAAAUCUCUGUUUUAGCAAUUUCUUCAAUUUCUGCCAAGUUCGAACUGGUCUCUGGUUGGUCCUUCUUCUAUUUGUAACUGUUUGAUCCCACCAGGCAGACGCUAGGCCCUUAAAUCUCAAGACCACCAGUUUCACUUGUUGGUCCUCAUCAAUGUCCAUGUAGUCAAAAAAUCUUUCUACCUCUAUGAUCCAUUCCAAAAAUUCUUCAAUGUGUGUUGUCCCAUUGAAAGAAGGUAGAUCCAUCUUUAAUUUACAUUGCCACUGGCCUCUAUUAAAACUUUCAGGAGCUUCAUCCCAAUAAUUAUUUUCGCCUAUUUGCUCCCUCCUCAUCCUUUGGUAGUGAGGUCGCCUUUGAGACGUUUGUUGUGAAGGCAUGUUUAACCCUUCAUAUUCAUCUUCAUAAAGUUCAGCAAAUCGAUCAUUGUAGUUUUGUCGCUCUCUUUGAAAAUUCUGAUUUGGUAGGGUCACUGACCGGCGUUGAAAUGGUUGCUCCGGAGGGUCAUCUCUAAGUGCUCUGUUCCGACGCUGAUAGAUAUGUAAUGGUUCUUCGGGUGGGCGACGUGGGUAGGCUCCCCCGGGCUGUAUUAUUCCCUGUCCAAACAUGUCAAAUUCUUUUCCGACGAUUGGCGGCCGGAAUUCGACGUUCACCGUUGGUUCAGUGGGUUGGAUAGUCCUUCUCAGUUCUAAAAAUCCAUCACGCAUCGCAGUUGUUAAGUCGGCGAUGGCUUUGUUCGUAGAUUCCCAUUCUUCUCUUGUAAUGCUCUCAUUUGCCAUUUUUUUUUACUAUUUCAGUAACACACUAUAAAUCAAAGUCCUGAUUAAAAGGUACCACAAUUACUGAAUUCAGAUGGCCAAAAAUCACAACGUAAGUCACUCUGAUUUUUCCGAAAAAAUUUGCACAACUUUCCACAGCAACUAGAUUCACUGAUGGUUGCAGACAGAUCGCAAGAUCGUAGACUCAAUUCACUCUCGCAAAAGAAAACCUCUGGAAUCAACGAUGACAAUAUCUGUAGAGAACAGAACAGACAGAAGACGCAGAGAACGGAACUACCUGAUGUACAAUAUUCUCGCAGAUGACAAUAUUCUCGACCAGAUGACAAUAUUCUCGGAAAACACGAGGCAGAACAGAACCACAAAAAACGGACGAGGCAGAGCACAAGGCUGAAAUCGGCAGGAAAAAAAAGACCACGACGGACAACAGGAACAGGAAUAGACCACAACGGAAAAAAUUGGCAGAAAAAAAAUUGACGCUGACGGACAGAAAUUCCAAAUGGAAGAAAAAAAUUGAUGCAGACAGACGGAAGAUAGAAGUCACUAGGCGGAAGUCACUUGGUCGACGCAGACGCAGACAGACGGAACCACAAGAAACGAUCAUGAUUUGAUGCAGACGGAUGCCUCCCCACGACGGGAAAAAAAUUUCCAGAAAAAAAAAGAGAACAAUCGAAGAAUUGAUCCGGAAGACAGGAACAAGAAUGAAGAAAUCACCAGGAGAUGAUGAUUGAUCGGCAAGAAGACGGAUCCGGCAGACGAUCGGCAGAAACACGAUUAUUUUUUUUGUCGUAAUUUUUUUUUAAAUGAUCCAGAAACCUCUUUGAAGACAAUCAACAACAAUGUCUCUGAUGCCACCUGAUAUAGGAGAAGAUCUGAAUUAAGGGGAAAAACGAUUGAAGGAGGUAGCAAGAACUUCUUCAAUCGGGGGAUGGGUAGAACUUGGAAUCCACCAAGAAUUCUAGGUUGAGAUCUAAAAUUUAGAAAAGGAAAUAAUAAAGCAAAGGAGAGAAAUAACGGUAAUACCUCGAUUUGAUAAUAAUUCAAUAGUUGCCAGUUGCUACCUCCCAUCCUUGGCCUAUUAUAUUUAUACUCACAUCAAUGGAAAUAGGCAACCCAUUUGAUGCGAGUGUAGGGCUGUUUAGGAGGAACGUGGGUUGGCUUGACCAAGGUCAAGCCAACUAGGGCCCACGUGAUUAUUCUCAAUAUCUUCUACUGCAUCAACUUCACUCUUUGUAUUUGUGUCAGGCUUAUUCUCUUGAAUCAUGAUUUCCAUUGAUGGUCGUGGUUAUGUCCUCCUCAUACUUUCAGUCUUCCAUGUGAUCCUCAUCCUCACUUGGGAGUGUAACCCAAUUAUUAUAACACACUAACGGAAUUAUUUUUGCAGGAUGUUGGGUAUGGCUCUCUGAGUAUGUGAAAGAGGAGAUGGUAAAUUUAAGAAAACUUUUUGGAAAAAGUGAUCUGAAUGAACUCUUCACAAUCAAAGAAUUAAUUCCGUCUUUCAAGUGGAAUCCACCAAGGAAAGACCUCAUAUCAGAUCAUCAAAUCACGAGUGGAAUCACUUAGGUCGAGAUAUAGGAGGAAGCCGGAGCAACUGAACACCCAAGAUCAUCAACUAGGAGUGGUCAAAGCAUGACAGUUUAACAUUAAAAAAAAACUCAAGCUCAAGUUCCUGAACCUGAAGAUCAUGAAACUCAAUCUAUACCCAGCAAAAGAGAAAACACAAUGCUCCCUAGUUUGAUGACCUUUGAGCUAUUUUGUAAUUGUAUUUUGCAUCAACUAUAUUCUAAAUAUUUUAUAUGAACUAUUUCUGACU